AUGGACGGCAGUAACGAGCUGAUUUUGCCCUACAAGAGGAAGAACAAGGCUCGAGGGGAAGCCAAGUUUUCCCGGAAGGAAAAGCAAAAUAAGCUACUGCAAGCAAGAAGCAUCGAGAUUUUGCGGCACACUGAUCUCAACUUAUUCCGUUCAGAAUGUAAUCGUAGGAUUUCAGUUGAUGGAUAUUCGCUGCUGCAUGCCUCAGGCACUAUUGGUCAAGCUGAGAUUUUGAAAGAAAAACUUAGGUGGGCUGUGCCGUUCUCCAGGGCAGGUUUGAUUGUUCCUGAAGAACUCUCUUUAUUCAAGAAAGAUGGUUAUCAGAAAGAUUUUGAAAACAUUGACAGAAAAGGAAUUAUUUGUAUCACCCAACCACCGCGUAUUGCUGUUCUUGCCACAUCUAUGAGGGUUCCUUAUGAGCUAGGACUUAAGUUGGGAAAGGAACUUGGUUUUCAAGUUAGGCAUGAUAAAAUGGUCAGAAGUAAUUGCGCCAUCAAGUUUAUGACAGAUGGCGUUUUGCUGCGAGAGAUCCAGCGCUAUUCUGUAAUCAUCUUGGAUGUGGCACAUGAAAGGAGCUUGAACACAGAUAUACUUAUCGGGAUGCUGAGUUGUACAGAUUCUGCUACCUUGCAACUGAGGGAUUUCAUUUCAAACAGAAGCUUGUUUGAUGUGAUCCCACUAGCUUUAAAGGUACCUAUACGCCAAUUCCCAGUAGCAAUUCACUUCUCAAAGAGGACACACGAUGAUUAUUUAGGGGAUGCUUACAAAAAAGUUGUAGCAUCCAAGCAGCAGACUGACAGGAAGCCUGAAAAAGUUGAGGGAGAUGAGAGUAGCUCAAGCCCAGAAGUAGACGAGAAGGAAAUUUAUGAAGCAUAUGAUGACAUGUUUUCCACAUAUGAGGAAGAUGAGAUAAACUCUGGGCCAAAUGUAUAUUCUUCUGAUAUUGAAAUAGAGGGUGAGAUGGACACUGACAGUGAGGAUGAGGAUGGGUCAGUAUCAAAGUUUUUGGGAAGUGCUGAGGGUUCAUCUGCACUGAAGGCAUCAUUUAAGGCUAUAUCAAGAGCGCCAGGAGUACCAGAAAGUGUUGAGAAAUCGAGCGAUGCUACAAGUUUAGAACAGUCAAUUCCUUAUGUUCCUUGUUUCAGUAAAUGCACAAAACCUAUGUCUGUUUCACAUGGUAACCUUCGAGUGUUACCACUUUACGCAAUGUUACCAGCUUCACAGCAGCUUCAAGUGUUUCAGAAUACACCUGAGGAUGAAAGAUUAGUUGUUGUUGCAACAAAUGUAGCAGAGACCUCUCUAACAAUUCCUGACAUAAAAUAUGUAGUAGAUAAUGGGAAACAAAAAGUUAAGAACUACAAUCAUGCUACUGGGAUGGCGAGUUAUGAAAUACAAGCUGGAAGAACAGGGCCUGGGGAUUGUUACCGUCUCUACUCAGCUGCGGCAUAUGGUAAAGACAAAUUAUUCCCAGAGUUCUCUGAACCAGAGAUCAAAAGAGUUCCAGUCGAUGUAGUUGUGCUUAUGCUCAGGUUUAUGCGCAUUAAUGUGUCAAAAUUUCCCUUCCCUACACCUCCUAACAAUGAAAGUUUGGUUGAAGCUGAGCAUUCCUUGAAGGCGUUGGAAGCACUAGAUAGCCAGGUUAAACCUACACCCUUAGGGAAGGCUAUGGCACAGUACCCCAUGAGCCCACGACAUUCUCGUCUUCUUCUGACAACAAUUAAAAAUUUGAAGAGCCAGAAAGGCUUUGGCAGACCUAACUUCAUAUUGGGAUAUGCAGCAGCUGCUGCAUCGGCUUUGAGUUUUCUAAAUCCUUUUCUCAUGCAAAAUGAUUUUAGUGGUGAGCCAAAAGAACAUAACCCUGAUUUAGACAAUGAGGACCAACAGGAAAUUAAGAGACAAAAGAAGAAGAUCAAGGCCAUGGUUAGAGAUUCCCGUGCAAAAUUUGUCAAUCCCAGCAGUGAUGCUUUAACCAUUGCUCAUGCCUUGCGGUUGUUUGAGCUGUCAAAAAAUACAGUGGAAUUCUGUAGAAUGAACUCACUUCAUCUGAAAACAACGGAAGAGACGUCAAAAUUCAGGAAGCAACUUCUUCGAUUAAUAUUUCUCCAUACUAAAUCUUGUGAGGAGUUUUCUUGGAAAUUUGGGGAUUAUGAGGAUGUUGAAGAGGCUUGGAGGAAGGAAAUUCUAGGGGAAGGGAUAUGUGCUGGGUGGGCUGAUAGAGUUGCAAAGAGGAUCCACACUUUCUCUGCAUCAUCAGAAGAUGCAAGGAAGAUUCGAGCUGUUCAUUACCAAUCCUGUGCUCUCAGUGAUACAAUAUAUCUCCACCUAUCUUCUUCUGUUGUCCGAACUGCACCGGAGUUUGUAUUUUUCCUUAAUAAAAACAGACCAUACAUGCAUGGUGUAACCAGUAUAAAGCCAUCCUGGCUUUUGAAAUAUGCUAGUUCUCUAUGCACCUUUUCCGCACCAUUGGAAGAUCGAGAAAUGUAUUACGACCCUAAAAAGGACCAAGUCUACUGUUUUCUUCCCCUGCAUAGCUUACCUGUGAAUGAUGGCUCCACUCGAUCGCAGGUAUUUGCCUGUUCUCCAGAUUUUCUUUAUCCUGAGAUCAAAGCUUGUUUUCAGGAGUUUCACAGCCAGUUUGGAGCAUUAUGGGGAAAAUGCACCGGGAGAUUCGUCUUGAGGGCGAGGAUCUUAUUCCAAAGGGGUCCAAGUGUUAAACAUAAUAGUGUACAGGUUAUUAGCGUGGCCUUGAGGCACACGGCGAGGUAG
Molecule: ribosomal RNA, 2763 nt
Filed under: Triticum aestivum (bread wheat)
Lineage: Eukaryota; Viridiplantae; Streptophyta; Magnoliopsida; Poales; Poaceae
Description: partial small subunit ribosomal RNA
Source: RNAcentral